Molecule: ribosomal RNA, 497 nt
Filed under: uncultured bacterium
Lineage: Bacteria
Description: partial 16S ribosomal RNA
Rfam family: Bacterial small subunit ribosomal RNA
Source: RNAcentral
GAUGAACGCUGGCGGCGUGCCUAAUACAUGCAAGUCGAGCGAACGGACGAGAAGCUUGCUUCUCUGAUGUUAGCGGCGGACGGGUGAGUAACACGUGGAUAACCUACCUAUAAGACUGGGAUAACUUCGGGAAACCGGAGCUAAUACCGGAUAAUAUUUUGAACCGCAUGGUUCAAAAGUGAAAAACGGUCUUGCUGUCACUUAUAGAUGGAUACGCGCUGCAUUAGCUAGUUGGUAAGGUAACGGCUUACCAAGGCAACGAUGCAUAGCCGACCUGAGAGGGUGAUCGGCCACACUGGAACUGAGACACGGUCCAGACUCCUACGGGAGGCAGCAGUAGGGAAUCUUCCGCAAUGGGCGAAAGCCUGACGGAGCAACGCCGCGUGAGUGAUGAAGGUCUUCGGAUCGUAAAACUCUGUUAUUAGGGAAGAACAUAUGUGUAAGUAACUGUGCACAUCUUGACGGUACCUAAUCAGAAAGCCACGGCUAACUACGUG